GUGGCACAUUGCUACCUCCGUAACCAACAGUAACUGCACACAGUGUUCUCUGCAGCCUAGGGCUGUCACACCCCAACCUUGCUAUGUCUUAUUUGCAAAUCCAUGGAGAGACAAUGAAGUUUUUAUAGCUGGGGUGUGAAGAUUCGCAGUCGCAGUCAGACGUCUACCUGUCUACACAUUGACGACCAAUGACAGCAUUUAUUGGAUGAUCUGACGAACUGCAAUUCGAAACUCGCGCGUGCAGUUGCAACAUAGACAGAUACUUUGUCGACACUGGAAGCAGCAGCGACUGGAGUCACCUCUUCUGAAGUAUGCUGUACAUGGAAGUGAAGGGCUAGCAAUCAUGUACAUGGGAAUUGUGAAGUCUGAUACCGGUACUGACGUUUGACGGGCACAGGAAAUGUUACAAGUGGAACCCUGGAUACGAAAAGGACGAAGAUAAAUAACUGGAUAGUUGUACAAAAAUUUCUACUACGCGCUAACAGCGGCUGACGCAUUACAAACAUCACAUCGUUCACUGCACAUGCCGGUGAAGCAACUGUCAUCCGAUUCCAAUAUCAUGUCAAAACCUACAUACCCACAAACUCAAGCUCCCUGUGAUUCACUGCCAUGGCUUUCCGUCCUUGCGUUCACUCACCAUUCGCCCCUCAUUCUACAACAUCGCCCUCAUUCUCACACUCCCAUUCUCACCCCUGCUCACUGCAACACAUCCAUGUGCCCUUGUCACAUCUUCUUCUCACGUAUCAAUCCUGAACCCACUGCAGCCAUAUACUUGCAGCUUUCCCCUCGUUCCUGAAACAAUCUCCUCACAGCUCUUCAGCCACCUUAACACGUUCGCUCCAAACGCCAAUUCUGAGCACUACUGUUCAGCGUCACUUCCAAGGCAGCACAGUCUGUCGUCGAGUCACCUCCAGCAACAGUUUCACAUACAGCAUGGCACUGUGAAGCCCAUGGCGGCUGAUUCAACGGACAAAAGCACAGUGGCAAGCUUUCUGGGAUUAGGAGAAUAGGUGGAGCACUGCACGGUGCUGGUGGGCAGCAGUGCGCUGGGAGUUGGUCUCCCAGUGGUUGCAAAAUUCUCACUGGAGCUGUCAAAGCUGCAAACUUCCUCGGAGAUGAUGGGUGAUGAGUGCAGAGGUUGGCUCAACGGCACCAACCAACUACAAUAUAGUUCUUGCUUUAACUGUGUGAGCAGCACAGAUGUCGGUAGACAAAACUAGGAACGUUGUGAUGAAGCCCCACUUCGUUUCAAUUUC
This 1256-nucleotide long non-coding RNA is filed under the name Physcomitrium patens. RNAcentral's name for it is "long non-coding RNA (PPAT_LNC004820)". The record is from RNAcentral. Lineage: Eukaryota; Viridiplantae; Streptophyta; Bryopsida; Funariales; Funariaceae.